This 267-nucleotide unclassified non-coding RNA is filed under the name uncultured fungus. RNAcentral's name for it is "sequence contains ITS2". Lineage: Eukaryota; Fungi. The record is from RNAcentral.
AACGCACAUUGCGCCCAUUAGUAUUCUAUUGGGCAUGCCUGUUCGAGCGUCAUUUCAACCCUUAAGCUCAGCUUAGUGUUGGGAAUCUACUGUGAGCGGUGCUACCCUGUAGCUACCCUGUAGUUCCUCAAAUCGAACGGCGGAGUUAUAGUUACCUCUGAGCGCAGUAAUUUUUAUCACGCUUAGGAAGUGCUAUAGUUCUUGCCGCUAAACCCCCAAUUUUUAAUGGUUGACCUCGGAUCAGGUAGGAAUACCCGCUGAACUUAA